UGUUACAAUGGGGGGUACAGAGGGCCGCUACCACGCGAGUGGAUGCCAAUCCCCAAAACCUCUCUCAGUUCGGACUGGAGUCUGCAACCCGACUCCACGAAGCUGGAUUCGCUAGUAAUCGCGCAUCAGCCACGGCGCGGUGAAUACGUUCCCGGGCCUUGUACACACCGCCCGUCAAGCCAUGGGAGCCGGGGGUACCUGAAGUGCGUAACCGCGAGGAGCGCCCUAGGGUAAAACUGGUGACUGGGGCUAAGUCGUAACAAGGUACC
RNAcentral lists this ribosomal RNA (269 nucleotides) under uncultured bacterium. RNAcentral's name for it is "partial 16S ribosomal RNA". It matches the Rfam family "Bacterial small subunit ribosomal RNA", at positions 1223 to 1500 of the family's 1533-position model. The record is from RNAcentral.